CUAUCUAUCUAUCUAUCUAUCUAUCUAUCUAUAAUCUGAUUGCUCAGGUUAACCCUGGAACAGAGAAUGUUGUGUGUGAGCCAGUUAAGAGCACUCGGGCUAAACAGCCUCCUGUAUGGUUAAAGGACUAUGCUACAGAGUAAAGGAAAACCGAAAAGAAAGAAAAAAGUGACUAAAAGAACACUAGUGUUGUAGAAGGGAAGUAACUGAAAACAUAUGUUGAAUGUGUUCAUGUGUUUAUUCAUAUGUUAGUUAAUUUAUAUGUUAUAAGAUACAGAAGUAAACUUAUAGUUUAAGGGCAUAAUUAAUAAAUGGAUGGAAAUUGGGCUGAAUAAUCCCACUUAUUAAGUCUUUCUUAAAAGAAAGAGGGGAAUCUUAUGUUCUGUGUUAAUGUUCAUGGACUGCAAUACUGACCCAGUCCGCUAGAGGCUGAAAGAGAGAAUUGUCUGUGGUUGGAAAAGUAAGAAGAAGAGGAGUAAAGUAAAGCGUUGUCAAUGUUGUGAACGGUUGUAAACAACUCGUCCCCUCUUCUUGUUUAUUUCUUUUCAUUACGAGUCCCAACAUUACAGUUUCUUCGUCGACUAUCAUGGUUUUAUCUCUCGGGCUCGCGCUCCACCGGAACAACUUCAGCAGGGCCGGAGAAUGGUGCGUUUGUUUGUUGGCAGGGCCUGGGCUGUCUGUAUCCAGAAGGCCGGAGCAUCUCCCUGAUCUCCGUUGCAGUUAAGUGGCAUCUCCCUAAAAUUGUCAAGACGACAGGCACCAAUGUAGUAACCACACAAAUACAUAAAUAGUGCAUAACACAAUAAUGUCGGAAAAUAUUACAAAGAACUCAAGUCAAAAACAUGUCACGUCGCACAUGUCUGAAGUGCAUGUCACACCACUGGAAAGCCUUAAUCAUCAUAUCUGAUUCCAUUGAUGCAAGCAUAAGUUCUCAUUAGGUGUGUGAUCAUACCUGGUUACGCGUCCGUACAGCGUGUCUGUCCUCCUGUGGUCCAGCAUCUCAGCGCACACAUGCCAGAAGCGUAUGUUAAACCACUGGAAAACAAAAACAAGUCUGUGACCUCUGCUUCUUAUAGAAAUGCAAGAAAUUAUUUUACGAUCUAAAUCUGUAAAACAAAAACAUGGCUGUGACAUUUUAUAGAGAUGCAAAAAAAAAAGAAAUUGAAUAAAUUUUAGAUGUAAAUCAGU
Cyprinus carpio (common carp) is the source of this 1188-nucleotide long non-coding RNA. RefSeq lists it as uncharacterized. NCBI's taxonomy places the organism in Eukaryota, Metazoa, Chordata, Actinopteri, Cypriniformes, Cyprinidae. The record is from RefSeq and is a predicted model, not a curated record.